GCAAGGGAUAUUGCGCAAUGGGCGAAAGCCUGACGCAGCGACGCCGCGUGGGUGAAGAAGGCCUUCGGGUCGUAAAGCCCUUUUGCUAGGGAAGAUAAUGACGGUACCUAGCGAAGAAGCCCCGGCUAACUACGUGCCAGCAGCCGCGGUAAUACGUAGGGGGCGAGCGUUGUCCGGAAUUACUGGGCGUAAAGAGCACGUAGGCGGUUUGUUAAGUCGGUUGUGAAAUCUCCCGGCCCAACUGGGAGGGGUCAGCCGAUACUGGCGGACUUGAGGGAGGCAGAGGGAAGCGGAAUUCCCGGAGUAGUGGUGAAAUGCGUAGAUACCGGGAGGAACACCAGUGGCGAAGGCGGCUUUCUGGGCUUUUCCUGACGCUGAGGUGCGAAGGCGUGGGGAGCGAACCGGAUUAGAAACCCGUGUAGUCC
This 425-nucleotide ribosomal RNA is filed under the name uncultured bacterium. Its description in RNAcentral is "bacterial SSU rRNA". It matches the Rfam family "Bacterial small subunit ribosomal RNA", at positions 354 to 796 of the family's 1533-position model. The record is from RNAcentral.